RNAcentral lists this transfer RNA (64 nucleotides) under Krisna concava. RNAcentral describes it as "tRNA-Asp". Lineage: Eukaryota; Metazoa; Arthropoda; Insecta; Hemiptera; Cicadellidae. The record is from RNAcentral.
AAAAGUCUAGUUUAAAUAAAACAUUAAUUUGUCAAAUUAAAAAUAUUAAUAAAAAUGAUUUUUU